Molecule: long non-coding RNA, 3049 nt
Organism: Mandrillus leucophaeus (drill)
Lineage: Eukaryota; Metazoa; Chordata; Mammalia; Primates; Cercopithecidae
Exons: 3
Source: RefSeq, a predicted model, not a curated record
CUUACCACCUCCUGUCAUCCUGGUCCAAAUCCCCAUUGUCUUGCACCUGAUUAAUUGUGUUACCUCCUGCCUUUCUUCUUGCCCAUCUGCCUAUUCUCAAAGGGCAUCCACAUUUAUCUUUCAAACUCAGGUCAGAUAUGGUAAUACCCAGUCUCUUAAUGGUUCUCAAGACUUUCCCCAGUAUCUAGCUCCCGGCACUUCUUCUCCCUCGUUCCUCCAAUUCUCCCCUUUUCUCACCCCACAUUGCCCUCUUUAUUCUCUGAAUAUGCCAGGCACAUUCCUGCCUCAGGGUCUUCCUCUUGCUCUUCCUCUGCCUGGAAUGUCCUUCUUCCAGAUAUCUCAUUCAAGUCUGCUAGAAGGUCACUUUCUAGGAGGGGCCUUCCAUGAUCAUUCUAUUUAAAAUCAUACUCCCACCUUGUAUUCCUAAUUUUCCUUCCCCGGUUUAUUUUUUUCCAUAGCACUUAUGUAUAGCUUACUUGUUUAAAAAAGUUCUGUUUUGUCUUCACUAGAAUGCAAUACCUGUAAAAGUGCCUUGUACAUAUUAAAUAUUCAAUAAAUAUUUGUUAAAUGGGUGAAUAAAUAGUAUCUUCAACUACUUUUUUUCAGUCAAAUAUAUACUAAUUGUCUGCCCUGCACAUAGCACUGAGCCAAAGAAUGAAGACAUAGCAGCAGGUCAGCAGAUAGUCCCAUUUGUACCCUGGCAAUCUAGUGAAGCAAACACAGACAGAACUAGCUAACAAUAAUGAUGUGUCAAAGAAAUACCUAGCAAUUUAUAUGUAAAGCACUAGUUAUAUAGAGGCCAAAGAGAACAUUUCUACCUUUGGUAGACAAUGAAGAGAGGAUGUUGGAGUUAGCUUUGAAAGACAGGUAGGACUUGAAUAGGCAAAGAAGGGCAGAGGUUGGGGCAUUCUAGGCAGGUGAAGAGUAUGAGCAAAGCUCUAGAAACACAGAGAGAAGUGUGUGUGUGUGUGUGUGUUUGCAGGGGGAACAGAGGUUUGGUGAAGAGGUUAGUUUUUUAGGGUGGAAGGAAGUAGGGCAGUUAUAGUGGGAACCCUAGACUGGAGCCAGGUUGUGAAACAUCUUCAAUGUGAGUCUAAACCAUUGGGUUUUUUAUUUGACAGAUAGAGAGCCAUUAAAGGGUUGAUUUCUUUGGAGAUUUGUUUUAAAUGAAGGAAUGUGGUGUGUAAAGAGGUAAUUCAGGAAUAUUGUUUUGGCAACACUGGCUGUGGGAGAUUCUAGAUGGAGGCUGAGUUAAGAGACUGUAGCAAUAGUUUAGUUUUUUGGUUUUUUGUUUGUUUGUUUGUUUGUUUUUUGAGACAGAGUCUCGCUCUGUCACCCAGGCUGGAGUGCAGUGGUGCAAUCUCAGCUCACUGCAACCUCCGCCUCCCAGGUUCAAGCGAUUCUCCUGCCUCAGCCUCCCAAGUAGCUGGGAAUACAGGCAUGUGCCACCAUGCCCAGCUAAUUUUUGUAUUUUACUAGAGACGGGGUUUCACCAGAUUGGUCAGGAUGGUCUUGAACUCCUGACCUUGUGAUCUGCUCGCCUCGGCCUUACUAAGUGCUGGGAUUACAGGUGUGAGCCACUUCCCCCAGCCCAAUAGCCUAGUUUUUAGCCAUGGCAAUUCUCAGUGUGGGAGGGGCAAUAGGAAGGAAGGGAUGAAGAGAGGGAAGUCACACGGGAGAACUUGACAGGGCUUGCUGGUCUUAUUAUAUAAUUUAGAAUUAAUUAUUUACAUAGACAAAGAAAUGACAAUUGCUCAAAGCAGAGUCACAGUAUAAACAGAUGUUAUGUGAGAAUAUUUUAGAGCUUCUCAUAUGGAUCCAAUUCAGGCAGGCAGUAAACCAUGCCAAAAUAUGCAGGCAUUGGAUGCUGUAAUUGUAUAGAACUACUACAAGAUGCAAACUUGAACACUAUAGACUCAUUUUAACUUGUGAACCAAGUUUGAACUGUCUGGAGGGAGAAAGCAUAUAUGCUAUGUUGUCUCCUUUAAGACUGGUAAUAAAGGGAAAAUAGAAAAAUGGAAUUAAAAAAAUUCUAUCCUCUUUUUUAGACAUAUCCAAAGAUUUAGGUUAAAUAACAAAAUUUAGAAAAACCAAAAGUGGUAUUUGAAUGGCUUUUGCACAUCUUAAUAACUUUCUGAAAUCAAAUUGGUAUAAGAAUAGUUGUAUCUGGAAAGGGUUAGGAGGAAAAAAGGCUAUUGUUCAUCUUUUAGAUUUAAGCACAUUUUAAAGUGAGAGCUUAAAUAAAAACAAAGAACUAUAAAGUGAGUGAGAGCUCAAGUUUAAAAAAUGAGAGCUCCUAUACAAAAUAGAGGGGUUUGGUCUUAUAUCAGGGAUGGGAUGCAAAACUAAAUACACUGUCUAUGGUGCAUUCAUUAGAGAACCAAAAGACAUGUACCACUUAUAUUUAUGCUUUGGAGAUUGCUAGCUGUUGUUCACUUAUACCCACUUGUUUCAUUUUUGCUAGUGACUUCUGAAACUACUUAAAUUCAGCCUUAGGCUUCUGAGGUUUGUGGGAUAGUGAAAGCUGAAGAAAGUGAGAGGGAAAUCUGACCAAAUCUCCCAGGCACAAUUUCCCAGGCAGAAGCUAGAAUUAAAAUAUACGUUCUUAUUCCUGUUCUUAGGUAGUUAUUCUUCCUGUUAUACUCUACUUUUAUGCAGAAAAGUAAAAAAGCAAAAGAAAUUGCUCAGCUAUCAAACCAGUGCGUGUAGCACUGAAAAAGAGAAAUAUUAUGUCCUAUCAAUUUUUCCAUCUCCCACUUAACACACAUACAUUUUUCCUUUACUUUUGUCAGUCUCUUCUACCUCUUUAAAAAUUUAUUUUCCUUAACCUCCUCCUCAAUCAACCAGUCAUUCGCCUUUGUGAGAUUAUAUGAUAUUGUGGACAGUAUAUGUACAAGCAUACCACAGAGAUACUGUAGAUUCAGUUCCAGGCCACUGCAGUAAAGCGAAUAUUGUAAUAAAGCAAGUCAUGCGAAGUUUUUGGUUUCCCAGUGCACAUAAAAGUUGAGUUUAUGCUGUAGUCUGUUAAGUGUGCAAUACCAUUAUGUCU